GAUGAACGCUAGCGGCAGGCCUAACACAUGCAAGUCGAGGGAGAAGCCCUUUCGGGGGCAGAAACCGGCGCACGGGUGCGUAACGCGUAUGCGACCUACCUUUCACAGGGGGAUAGCCCGAAGAAAUUUGGAUUAAUACCCCAUAAUAUUAUUGGAUGGCAUCAUUUGAUAAUUAAAACUGCGGUGGUGAAAGAUGGGCAUGCGUCCUAUUAGCUAGUUGGAGUGGUAACGGCACCCCAAGGCUACGAUAGGUAGGGGUCCUGAGAGGGAGAUCCCCCACACUGGUACUGAGACAGGGACCAGACUCCUACGGGAGGCAGCAGUGAGGAAUAUUGGUCAAUGGUCGGAAGACUGAACCAGCCAUGCCGCGUGCAGGAAGAAUGCCUUAUGGGUUGUAAACUGCUUUUAUAUGGGAAGAAUAAGGCGUACGUGUACGUUGAUGACGGUACCAUAUGAAUAAGCAUCGGCUAACUCCGUG
RNAcentral lists this ribosomal RNA (478 nucleotides) under uncultured bacterium. RNAcentral's name for it is "partial 16S ribosomal RNA". It matches the Rfam family "Bacterial small subunit ribosomal RNA", at positions 28 to 507 of the family's 1533-position model. The record is from RNAcentral.